GAUGAACGCUAGCGGCAGGCCUAACACAUGCAAGUCGAGGGGCAGCACAGAUUAGUUUACUAAUUGGGUGGCGACCGGCGCACGGGUGCGUAACGCGUAUGCAACCUACCCUGUACUGGGGGAUAGCCCGGAGAAAUUCGGAUUAACACCCCAUAGUAUUAUGUAACUGCAUGGUUAUAUAAUUAAAGGUAACGGUACAGGAUGGGCAUGCGUCCUAUUAGCUAGAUGGUGAGGUAACGGCUCACCAUGG
RNAcentral lists this ribosomal RNA (250 nucleotides) under uncultured bacterium. Its description in RNAcentral is "partial 16S ribosomal RNA". It matches the Rfam family "Bacterial small subunit ribosomal RNA", at positions 28 to 273 of the family's 1533-position model. The record is from RNAcentral.